CCCUGGCUCAGAGUGAACGCUGGCGGCAGGCCUAACACAUGCAAGUCGAACGGCAGCACAGAGGAGCUUGCUCCUUGGGUGGCGAGUGGCGGACGGGUGAGGAAUACAUCGGAAUCUGCCUAUUUGUGGGGGAUAACGUAGGGAAACUUACGCUAAUACCGCAUACGACCUACGGGUGAAAGCGGAGGACCUUCGGGCUUCGCGCAGAUAGAUGAGCCGAUGUCGGAUUAGCUAGUUGGCGGGGUAAUGGCCCACCAAGGCGACGAUCCGUAGCUGGUCUGAGAGGAUGAUCAGCCACACUGGAACUGAGACACGGUCCAGACUCCUACGGGAGGCAGCAGUGGGGAAUAUUGGACAAUGGGCGCAAGCCUGAUCCAGCCAUGCCGCGUGGGUGAAGAAGGCCUUCGGGUUGUAAAGCCCUUUUGUUGGGAAAGAAAAGCAGUCGGUUAAUACCCGAUUGUUCUGACGGUACCCAAAGAAUAAGCACCGGCUAACU
Molecule: ribosomal RNA, 496 nt
Filed under: Xanthomonas sp. CL1.18
Lineage: Bacteria; Pseudomonadati; Pseudomonadota; Gammaproteobacteria; Lysobacterales; Lysobacteraceae
Description: bacterial SSU rRNA
Rfam family: Bacterial small subunit ribosomal RNA
Source: RNAcentral